Molecule: transfer RNA, 85 nt
Filed under: Fusobacteriaceae bacterium
Lineage: Bacteria; Fusobacteriati; Fusobacteriota; Fusobacteriia; Fusobacteriales; Fusobacteriaceae
Description: tRNA-Leu
Rfam family: tRNA
About the family: Transfer RNA (tRNA) molecules are approximately 80 nucleotides in length. Their secondary structure includes four short double-helical elements and three loops (D, anti-codon, and T loops). Further hydrogen bonds mediate the characteristic L-shaped molecular structure. tRNAs have two regions of fundamental functional importance: the anti-codon, which is responsible for specific mRNA codon recognition, and the 3' end, to which the tRNAs corresponding amino acid is attached (by aminoacyl-tRNA synthetases). tRNAs cope with the degeneracy of the genetic code in two manners: having more than one tRNA (with a specific anti-codon) for a particular amino acid; and 'wobble' base-pairing, i.e. permitting non-standard base-pairing at the 3rd anti-codon position.
Source: RNAcentral
GCCUGAGUGGUGAAAUUGGUAUACACGCCAGACUUAGGAUCUGGUGCCGCAAGGCGUAAGAGUUCGAGUCUCUUCUCAGGCACCA